This 1056-nucleotide long non-coding RNA is filed under the name Vombatus ursinus (common wombat). RNAcentral's name for it is "lncRNA (ENSVURG00010011827.1)". The record is from RNAcentral. Lineage: Eukaryota; Metazoa; Chordata; Mammalia; Diprotodontia; Vombatidae.
CACUAUCUUUACAUGUAAUUGGAAAAAAUAAAAUACUACUACGUGUAAAAAAAUAAAAAGAAAAAUUAAUGGGCCUCUAAGAGAGUAACACCAUAUUUUUUACCGGUGGAAAAAAAGGAACCUAACUGCUCUCCACAUUGUGCCCAGGCUUCAGAGUCCAAAGAUGUUCCGAAAUGCCCUCCCACCUUCCUCCUCCCCUUCUUCCCAACUCCCUUCUCUGGGCCUGGGAAGGGACCCCAGGACCCUCCCCCACAGGUCCCUGGCAGGGCCUGCUCCCAGGCCAGGGAGUUCCCCAGCUCCCAGGGGUUCAGGACUUCCGGGGCCUUGAGGUGGGGCUCCUCCAAGUCCUUCCCCAUCCCCCCACCUGGACUGCAGAGAAGAAUUUCCAGUCCAGCACAAGACCGGAGAAAGGGCAGCCGUGGGCACGAGCCCCCAGCCAUGUGGCCCCUCAGGUCAGCCCGGGAGGGGAAGGGACCAGCGACUCCUUCCUGAGCCUGCCCCCCCUGCCCAAGGGGCCACAGGUAAGCGUUGUCCUCGGGCUCUGUCGCCUUCCCUCCCACCUCCUGAGCUCCGGGGUGGGGGGGAGGGGGAGAUGCCCCUCAAGGCCUUCUUCAGCUGCACCAGGGACUCUCGACUGGCCAAGUGGGAGAGAGAAUGAACCAGCCGAGCCCCUGCCAAGUGAACUUGACCCUGGGUUCUACUCUGAAGGGCAGAUCUACAGAGAUGGGAGAAGGAGGAGACGUCUUGGCCACGGGAGCUCCCAGUCUAGAGGUGGGGAGGAGGACGGGAGCCAAGAUUCACAGAACAGAGAGGAUCGCAUAGGGCCGGGGGGCAGCAGGGCAGGAGCAGGGGGAGACAUCCCGGUGCUAGGUGAGGGGCAUACCAGGAGGGGGAUACCUGGUGAGCAAAGGUGUGGAGGCAGGAUUGAGCCAAGGUUGGCUCCCGGGAGCUCUGUGUGAAUGUUGAUAAGAAGCCAGGGUGUAGGGCUGGGGAGUGAGGAGUGGAAGAGUUUCCCAUGGCUUUGAAAAUCACCCCAAACUCUAAGUCUUGCCAAAC